UGGGCGGAGUCAUCAAGUAUUUCUCAAGAC
RNAcentral lists this non-coding RNA (30 nucleotides) under Rattus norvegicus (Norway rat). The record is from RNAcentral. Lineage: Eukaryota; Metazoa; Chordata; Mammalia; Rodentia; Muridae.